CUCCCUGACUGUGAGAUCCCAGGCACUUCACCGGCUGGCCGAGUCUCUCUCCAUUCUGACCCUUUCCAGGCUGCUGGCCCCCGGGGGAGCGUGCACUAUCUGUUCCUCACGUUGGGGAAUUGGCUGCUUCUGAACUGAAAUAUGAGACACAGAGUAUGAUGGAGAAGACUAAGCACUAGCAGGGACUCGGAGCGUUUUUUGCUCUCACACAUCUUUUCUGCGCGUACAGUACAAGGUAACAAGAAGAAUGAUUUAUUUAGCUCAGCGAAAGCAGCUGUUCAAAGGAAGUGAGGGAUAUUUUAGAGGAUUGUAUUCAAUUCCCAGCGUCUUCCAGCUUGUCCUCAUUUCGAGUCAACAUAACUGGCUUCAGCACAUCCGAGACAAAGCUCCCACUACUGUAGGCAACAUGCACACUUUCAGUCUCCCCUAUCCCACUCAGACAACUGUCUCCUAAUGCUUUGGUUUACAAACCCAAAGGGUCAAAAUCUGUCCUCACUUAGGUGACUGUUGAAGUCAAUGGGACUGCCCAGUUUUGAGGAGAGAGUUUAUCAUCCUCCCACUGCUGAAGCCAUUAAAUGGCUUGAUAUGACUAGCAAUUUCCGAUCAGAAGAGACCCGGCGCUGGAAUGUCAGGGCUGCGGCAGGCAAGCGGUCUGGCACUGCACCCAUUGAAGUCAAUAACAGAUCUCCCAUUCGCUUCAUUGGCAGCCACGUGAGCACCCCCAGAUGGAGCUGUAUUGACAGAGUGUUGGAGACAUGAUGCUGUGCAUAACUCUGACUGGUGCUGAGUGUAUACGGGCACACCAAAUUCACCCGUUUUUGAAAGCUCUGGAUUUCUGAAUAAUAGGGUUUUACGAUGGACCUGUGGACAGAGCUCCCAUCUCCAGUACCAUGAACACAUCAGUAUGAUAUUUACAUGAACAGUUGACCAUCAUCCUCUAUGUUCCUUCUGUCCAAGAAUGGGAACAAAACUUCCUUAUUUAAUUUUGAAUCUUUGCUUCAACUUUGCAAUUCCCUUUGAUUGCCAGCUUCUCUGGACUAUAUUAUCUGGAACUGGCCUUGCAAAAAGCACCACAUGUACCAUAAGCCAUUCUGCAGAAUUUCUAAGUGGUCUGGAAUGAACUGUUCUCCUGCAAGUAACUCACUAACAGACGUGAUUAGCAAUUAAGAAAAACAUUAUUAUCUAUCGCAUGGGCUCAGAGAAAUAUUCAUGGUGAGCCUUGUGCGUAAUAGCAGUAGGAAAGAGGCCAGGAGGGCUAAGAAAAUAUCAGUAAGCCAAUGUCAAGGAGGUUAUCAAGUGCAAAGAGAUGAUGGUGGUAAAGGAAGCCAACAAUAUGAUCCAGGAAAGAUGGGAAUGAACAGUACUGCAAGCCAACAAUGUAUGCACUGCAUAGCACUUACAGCAGUAUGCAAUUUAUCAUUAGAUAUAGAUAAAAGUUCUCUUUAAAGAUCUAUAAAGCCUUUGAUACUGCUAAGAAACAGCCAGAAGAAGGAUGUUUUAGGGAGGAAAAAAUGGAUGUAACGAAACAAAAUGCAUACUUCCUAGUGUGAUGAACAACAGAAAGGAAAGCUAUUAUUCCUGUCUUUAAUUUUGCACAAAGGCGAAAAUUUGCUGUCAAAAUCAUAGCAGCAAAUGAAGUAUUUUGAUAUUGCCCAGGGCGUAAUGUUUAAAGAGUCUUUAAUGUGAUCACACAACCGCAGGCAAUAGGAACUCAUUACUGCUGCCAGCGUUGGUUUUUUCACUAGGGGAGAACUACCGUCUCACCACAGCUAUUCACAUGCAGUGGGAUCUCAGCUUUCUUGAUCCAGAAGAAGCCACACAUAGGGAAAAUCCUACUUGCCUGUUAUCAUGGCAUCACUUACAAAGUAGAGAUGUUCAUCCUUCUGCCAAUGUAGGAUUGUUUCCUACAAUAUAUUUGCUAGUGCUUUGUUGUCCUUAAGCUCAGCCAAGCACUCUGUAGCCUGACAUUAUAAACAGGGGGCCCACGGAGGGAACUCCUUUUUGCUUAUAGAAUCACAGAAUCAUAGACAUGUAGGGUUCAAAGGGACCUCAGUAGGUCAUCUCAUCCAGCCACCUGUGCUGCAGCAGGGCCAAGUAAACUUAGACCAUCCCUUACAGGUGUUGUCUAACCUGUCUUAAAACCUCCAAUGAUGGAGAUUUUACAACCUUCUUUGGAAGCCUAUUCUAAUACUUAACUAUAAGUGUAGCACCCAAAACGGGACACAGUUCUCCUGCUGACGACUCACCAGUACCAAGUAGAGUGGGACAACUACCUCCCACAUCCUACCUUUGACAUGCUCAGCUGUGACUUGGGAGCAUAGUCUAGCUAAAUUGUGAGUCGUGUAGUUGUAUAGAAAGCAACUAGCAUAGCUGACAGUCAGAUUGGUUAAAAUUGGUUUGCAGUAAAGUUAUAAAUGAUCCAGAAGAGAUAAGGGCCUUUCCUUAAGCACCUUAUCCUGCAAUUCUUAUUCGUAUGCAUAAUUUUUACUUAUAACUCAACAGACUUCAGUGGGGCUGCUAGCAGAGGGAUCCAGUUGGAGGAAGGAGGCUGGAUUGGCCCUGAUAUUCUUUAUAAUACUUUUGAUUGGUUCCGUUUUUAAUCAUAGAGCUAUCUAUGUCUGCCACCCAUAACAUUUCCAUUGUGACUUGUCUUUGUAGCAGUAGCUGCCACUAAAAGCUAUUCUGAAAGGUAUGUCACUGCAGGCCAGAUUUUCAAAGGUAUUUAGGCAUCUAAAGAGGCAGCUAGGUGCUUGGUGGGAUUUUCAAAAGCGGGAGUUAGGCGCUAAAUCUCCAUAGGCCCUUCUGAGAAUCCCACUAGGCACCAGCCGCAUCUUUAGGCACUUUGCUAUCUUUGAAAAUUUGGCCCCCUGUUUCUUUGCCUAAAGGAUAAUGGGACUAUAUAUAUAUACGAAAGAAGCCACCUGUUUUCCUUGAGGUGCAAUAGCUACGUUACUUAUACUGGGGCAGGGUGUAUAGGUGUAUAGUCGGAAGCACUGAUACACCAUCAGAAUUGCUGAAGGCGAGCAUACCUGGUAAGGGUUAUACAAGUAACAGCUAAGGGUGAUUCUGACUCACAUGUAAUGAAUAAGGCUAUGAUUAUGUCACGGAGGUCACGGAAUCCAUGACUUCCAUUGACCUCCAUGACAUUCUCUGCCCCGGACUGGAGCUCCAAGCCAGCCCCUUCCUCCCCUUUCCCCCGCCCCCAGCUCACAGGCCCCGCACGCAUGGGGACACCCUGCAGCUGUCCAGCUGGGGGUGGCAGGGGCCCUGCAGCUGCCCAGCCGUGGUAGGCAGUGGGGGACCCCCUGAAUCUGCCCAGCUGUGGCAAGUGGCUGGGGGACCUUGCAGCUCCCAGCCAUGGUGGGCGACCCCGCAGCAACCCAACCCCACUGGCAGGAAGACCACACAGCUCCCACUCCCCACAGCAGUGGGGGAACCACGAGCCCCAGCAGAAGUGGGUGCUAACCCUGUGUCCCCAUUUUGUCAGGGAUAUUUUUAGUGAAAGUCAGGGACAGGUCACAGGCUUCCGUGAAUUUUUGUUUAUUGCCCAAAAACAACAAGGAGUCUGGUGGCACCUUGCCCGUGACCUGUGACUUGCCUGUGACUUUUACUAAAAAUAUUCAUGACAAAAACUUAGCCUUAGUAAUGAAUGAAAAUAACCACCAAAGCCGAGGUCAGAAGAAAUUUCCUCCUCAAGCAGUUAGCAAUGACCUUUUUUGUUGCGCAUUAAGUGCUGAUCCAAAGCUCAUUAAAAUCAAUG
Molecule: long non-coding RNA, 3760 nt
Organism: Chrysemys picta bellii (western painted turtle)
Lineage: Eukaryota; Metazoa; Chordata; Testudines; Emydidae
Source: RefSeq, a predicted model, not a curated record